AUGGUGGAUCAUCAUCAUUGUCAAUAUCGCC
This 31-nucleotide non-coding RNA is filed under the name Mus musculus (house mouse). Lineage: Eukaryota; Metazoa; Chordata; Mammalia; Rodentia; Muridae. The record is from RNAcentral.